GCGUCACGUUGAGUCAUCACACUUAGUGUUAACAUAUACGCAAGAUACACACACACUCAGAUAAUCAAAAACAUAAAAUAUAAAGUGCUUGAAAUUUUCGAAACGAAAUUAUAUCGGAAAAAAAAAAUAAUAAUCGUCUCGCGUCCUGAUUUGGAAAAUCCCUAGGUUGGUUCUUUUAGAUUUCUUAAACGCGUUUUUUUUUUCUGUAGACACAUCUUAAUUUAUAUAUUUCAUGAGAUUUUGCAAUCAAAGAGACUUAUUACAGACUAUCUCGUUAAAAAUAUUUAAAAAAUACUUGUUUUUAUAGUUUAUAAUUCUUUUGUUUCUCACUGAAGAAUAUUUGUUCAGAGCGAUUAGUGUGGCAAAUGUUAAACGCACACACGACAAGUGUUAAUUCAGUCCCACAGUAGAGCGAAAAAAAUUUCAAAAAUCUCUCUGUUCUCGUGUGCGACAAGUAAAAAAUCAUCAAAUAUAUUUCAUGAGUGAUAUCGUGUGUAUAAAUGUAUGUACAUAUAACGCUGCGCGGGAAGCAAUGCGAUACGAACGCGGGAUUUCAAAGAGAACUAACGGUAUAGUACUACCAUCUCGAGAAUGUUGCUCGAACUUUCGUCGUAAUUUUCAUUGAUUGAUACCGCAAACGUCGACAGCAACAAAUUUCUUAUCUUCGUCCGGUACCACGAUCGAUUGUCGCGUGCAACAGCGGGAGAUUCGAGAAUGCGCGGUUACGUCACGCGUGUGGAAACAACGCAGCUUUCUCUAAUCUAACGGAUUAAGGCGAUUUGCAUUUGUCUUCUCUUUUAGCCUUAUCUUAUCGCAUCCCAACAACUCGCGAUUUUGCAUAAAAAUACACGAACUGAAUUCUUACAAGAUGCAAAAAUCUCUCGUCGAAUUACAAUAGCAUCGCUAAAAUGAUUAAUGUUCUUGUUUGUUUCUUGAACUUAUUUGUUCAACCGUUUUACACUUACUUUAUAAUUACUUUAUAGUUUUACUUUUGUUUACAACUUUUAACAUUAUUUUUAACACGUUCGUUUCUAAAUAGAAGACAAAUUUUUCUUGCAUUUCGUUGUACUUGCUUCGAUGGCUACCAAGUGCAGUGUUCAAUAUCGCGCGAUCUUGAAUCUGUAGAUGAAUAAACACGCACGAUCGUAUUUUGGACGAUCUACAAAAAAUAAAUGUGUUAGGCCUAAGCGCGUUGAAGUCACCUAGCGCGUGCGCGCGAUGGCUCGGCGAUCUCUUCAAGCGAGCUUUCGCUAGAAACGAGUGUGUGGAUUUUGGCAUUCAAAUCCCUCGAUUGCGAGCUAAGCUAUCUUAUCGCAGAAUUGCAAACAAACGCAUUCAAAAUCUCAUUAAUAAUCAAAUCACUCGAUUAUGCACUGUGUAUAUGGUGAAAAAAAUUUCGUUGACCAAAUUGAGUCGAUAAUUUGAUUUCGCUCUCCUCGCGUCGAGGAAAUAAUGAGAUCGCAAUGAUAAAAAGACACCAAUAAGAUAAAAACGUUAAUUGAGAGGAAGCUAAAGCGUAGACGUAACUCUUGUUAUAGAAAAUACUCGCGCUGUUAUAAGAAAAAUAAAUUUAUAAUUCGUGUACCGUCCCAAAGACUGAUCAGUUCUCGACAAAAAGCUAAACAAGAGGAACACAUUAAAAUCCCACUUGUAAUAGAGCUCGGGAUAUACCAUUUAUAAACCCGACAAAGUGAGUCAUUGGGAAUCGCGCCGCUGAUCAAGCUUAACGGCUUUUCUUCGUUUACUUCUCUUACUUGUGUGUGUGUGUGUGUGUGUUUAUUUUAUCGGCGUGGACUCUUCCUAUAAUCAAGACCACAUGUGUGUGACGUGAUGUCGCCCGAGAAACAAUUGCAGGUCUUGUUGCGCACAUAUGUGUGACUGACUCAUCGUGGAACAUGAAUUCUGCAAUCGACACGCCUGAAAUAUACAUCACGUCGUUGUGUCUAGUUGAAGAUAUAGCGAAGUCAAAGGAACCUACUGUACCUACCAAUGGUGCCUAUAUAUUUUCUAAAUGUACAUAUAUAUAUGUAUAUACAUAUAAUGUAACAAAGUCUAUCGUUAUUUUUAUAUUUUGAUAUUUAUCUUCUUUCGAGCAAUAGAUUCAGUGUCUGAUUAUAGUGCGUUUUGUUGCGCUAUUGUUUAUCCAUCGUUUAUUUUUUUAAUUGAGAGAAAUUGUAAUUUUUCUACGUCAUCGUAUCGCCUUUCCUCAUGUCUUUUCAAAAACUCUCAAGAUCGUAAAAUUGAAAAUCAUACUUCUUGUCUCACAAAAGCUUUUUAGUCCUACGUGUAUAAAAUUUAUCAUGUUUGUCUCAAAACUUCAAUACGACACAACGAAAAAAUUUUCCCGUUAAUCAAACUAAAAAAAAUCGAAGCAAACAAUGAGAAAAGGAGAUAGGGAUUUAAAGGUAAAAUUUGCUUUUUCUCACGUGGGAAGAUUUGUCGCGCCAUCAAGCGUCGCACGGUCGUACUAUUGAUCGCGACUUCACCCUUCUGCUAUUCCUCGCUGUGCCGAGCUCGCCGAGUCCGAGCGAAGAUGGCGACUGGAGGGUAGGAUUGUGUACAGACGCUGCGCUGCGAAGACGAUUCUCUUUCUCCGACGGAGACGGCCGUCGAUUAAUCGGAGCCAGUUGCCCGCCUGACUCGAAAUCCGAUGGUGGCGGGUAUCUCCGGGGUUUGCGGCUGAUUCUGGAUUCACUGCAGUGGCUAAAAAAACACACACACACACACACGCUAAUACACACGUACACACACAAUAAUUAAUCAUUCGCUCAUUCUUCGUUUCAUGUCGAUAUCUAAAAAUAAUACAAGCAAUUAACACGCAUGUAACAUUGAAACUUUCGUUGCUACUUCUCGUCAUAAAUGUCUAGUCAGAGAAACAAACGACCGAAGUAGAAGUAAUAUUUUGGCGCGAAGAAAACGCCGUGACGCACUCUCUCCGAUUCGGUUUAUCGUGAGAUAAAUCGAAAAGGCGCAAGCCAAAGAGUAAAUAUAGAAUCAAGAUAACCAAGCUGAUUCAGUGGGAUCUCGACGAUCGUUCUCUUCGCGAGGCGUCAUGCCCCGAUGAUGGUAUCGUGGCCGAAGAAAAAUCGAUUUUUUCGCGUAUUAAAAUAGUUCCUGUCUACAUCAACGAAAAUCGACGUUGCGAAAUAAGGAAAACAAAAAAAUUUGAUUCGAGAAACAAUCGAUUGUCAUUAACUUUCGUCGAUGUUGCGUCAUCAAUGUUUGCGUUGAUGUUAGAGAUAAGAUUAACUCGAAAUACUUAAUUGUAGUAUAUUAUCCGAAUGCCAUCGAAAGCAAAGAGUAAAAAAAAAAACAAUUACGCUCAAGAACGUAACGACAAGUAACGAAAAGAAACGCGAAACAGAAAAAAUACUUUUAGGAAAGAAUUUUAGAUUUAAUCAAAUCUUUCUUUUUUUGUAAAUUGAAAAAAAUAACAAUUGUUUUUGCUCGUCAUCGAGUUUUUGGAGUUAUUCUCGAUCUCGCUCGAAGAUUACGGCGGGCUGGACGAGUGUGUCCCGUGGUAACAUCGAUGCUAGCUAAUCGAGUCAAUAGUUCCAAUUCAGCGACCAUGAGUGAUACACACGUGUUCUGAUCGUCGUUUUAGUCGUUGCUUCGCUAAAAGAGAAUUUAUCAAAAUUUAUACGUGCGUUCGAGCGACUUUUGGUGCAAUAAUUUUUUCCUGAUUGUUGAGCGAAUUUUAUUUCAUUGAUCAUAUUUAAAUUUAUGUUUUAUAAUUAACAUAUUAGUAAAAUUAUAACGAAUAAUAACAUUAUCGGAGACUAUAUUGUUAAAAUAAUAUAGUCAAUAUUGACGAGAAAUGUGCGAUACACCGUAGCUACUCGCGUACAGUGGCGGAACGAGUUUUUGAAAGAACAUAUUGUGUGCGCGGAGACUCGAAUGCUUCUUAUACUUUAAAAUCAACAACCGGAGUGUUGUCUCGAAUUAAUAGUCCGACAUCUCCGAAAAUGUAUCUCCGACGUAGAUAAGAUAGAUAACGAUCAGUAUUGCCAGCGGACAAACAACAGAAAAAAAAAAAAAA
Molecule: long non-coding RNA, 4039 nt
Organism: Pseudomyrmex gracilis
Lineage: Eukaryota; Metazoa; Arthropoda; Insecta; Hymenoptera; Formicidae
Exons: 2
Source: RefSeq, a predicted model, not a curated record